This 497-nucleotide ribosomal RNA is filed under the name uncultured bacterium. Its description in RNAcentral is "partial 16S ribosomal RNA". It matches the Rfam family "Bacterial small subunit ribosomal RNA", at positions 28 to 507 of the family's 1533-position model. The record is from RNAcentral.
GAUGGACGCUGGCGGCGUGCCUAAUACAUGCAAGUCGAGCGAACAGACGAGGAGCUUGCUCCUCUGACGUUAGCGGCGGACGGGUGAGUAACACGUGGAUAACCUACCUAUAAGACUGGGAUAACUUCGGGAAACCGGAGCUAAUACCGGAUAACAUGUUGAACCGCAUGGUUCAACAGUGAAAGACGGUUUUGCUGUCACUUAUAGAUGGAUCCGCGCCGCAUUAGCUAGUUGGUAAGGUAACGGCUUACCAAGGCAACGAUGCGUAGCCGACCUGAGAGGGUGAUCGGCCACACUGGAACUGAGACACGGUCCAGACUCCUACGGGAGGCAGCAGUAGGGAAUCUUCCGCAAUGGGCGAAAGCCUGACGGAGCAACGCCGCGUGAGUGAAGAAGGUCUUCGGAUCGUAAAACUCUGUUAUUAGGGAAGAACAAAUGUGUAAGUAACUAUGCACGUCUUGACGGUACCUAAUCAGAAAGCCACGGCUAACUACGUG